Molecule: long non-coding RNA, 317 nt
Filed under: Capsella grandiflora
Lineage: Eukaryota; Viridiplantae; Streptophyta; Magnoliopsida; Brassicales; Brassicaceae
Description: long non-coding RNA (CGRA_LNC001290)
Source: RNAcentral
GUUUUCCUACGACGUUUCCUUCCAUAUUGAUGGCGAAGGUAUUUAGAAGGAAAUUUUCCUACUAAUUUCUCUCCGCGCGUUUUCCUUCUUUUUCCCUUCUUUAUUCCUUCACGGUUUCCUACCAAACUAUUAAUUAAAAGAAUUUGGUAGGAAAUUUUCCUUCCACUUUCUGACACAUAUUCUCGUAGUAAAUGUCUCUUCCUUUUUUCUACCACACUCCAUCUUCGUCAUAAAUGCGAAAUUUUACCGUAGGUAAUUUUUCCUACCAAUAUUUUUGAAGGAAUUUUCGUAGGAUUUCGACCUGUUUUCUUGUAGUG